ACGGCGAGUGAAGCGGGAAGAGCCCAAGACGUUAAUCUCCGAAUGGAGAGUUGUGGUCUAUGGACUAGNCGACUGCUGAAUUCCAAGGAGGGGCAAGUCUGUUGGAACACAGCGCCAGGGAGGGUGAUAGCCCCGUCCCCCCACUUUGGAGCAGCUCUAUGUCGGCGUGUCUGAGAGUCGGGUUGUUUGGGAAUGCAGCCCUAAGCGGGAGGUACGCACCUUCAAAGGCUAAAUAUUCAGGCGAGAGACCGAUAGCGAACAAGUACCGUGAGGGAAAGUUGAAAAGCACUCUGGAGAGAGAGUGAAACAGUACGUGAAACCAGAUGUAGGGAAGCGCUUGCAUGGAGUACUUUGGCGGAGGAGAUUCGUCUCUUUCGUCAAGUCCAGCACCAGUUUGGAGUGCGGAGGAAAUAGCGCUGGCAAAGGUAGUGCCAAUUCUCGGAUUGGUGCAUUAUAGGGCCAGUUGCUGCUGCUCUGCCGCGGACUGAGGACAGCGGCAUCCUCUCCCCUCGGGGAGGGGUGCUACGGGGAAUCGGGUGGGCUGUUGCGGGCACCGGGGGCAGACUGCGUGCAGACUGUUUCUGGUGUCGGCGGCACUCUGCCCGGCUGUAGCGAAUGC
This 619-nucleotide ribosomal RNA is filed under the name Coemansia sp. KFC01-30. RNAcentral describes it as "eukaryotic LSU rRNA". It matches the Rfam family "Eukaryotic large subunit ribosomal RNA", at positions 86 to 508 of the family's 3401-position model. The record is from RNAcentral. Lineage: Eukaryota; Fungi; Kickxellomycota; Kickxellomycetes; Kickxellales; Kickxellaceae.